UCUGGUAUUGAUUGGUGCUUGCAUCAUGAUUUACAUUUCCGUGAGUGGCGAACUGGUGAGUAACACGUGGGAAACCUGCCCGGAAGCGGGGGAUAACACCUGGAAACAGAUGCUAAUACCGCAUAACAACUUGGACCGCAUGGUCCGAGCUUGAAAGAUGGCUUCGGCUAUCACUUCUGGAUGGUCCCGCGGCGUAUUAGCUAGAUGGUGAGGUAACGGCUCACCAUGGCAAUGAUACGUAGCCGACCUGAGAGGGUAAUCGGCCACAUUGGGACUGAGACACGGCCCAAACUCCUACGGGAGGCAGCAGUAGGGAAUCUUCCACAAUGGACGAAAGUCUGAUGGAGCAACGCCGCGUGAGUGAAGAAGGGUUUCGGCUCGUAAAACUCUGUUGUUAAAGAAGAACAUAUCUGAGAGUAACUGUUCAGGUAUUGACGGUAUUUAACCAGAAAGCCACGGCUAACUACGUGCCAGCAGCCGCGGUAAUACGUAGGUGGCAAGCGUUGUCCGGAUUUAUUGGGCGUAAAGCGAGCGCAGGCGGUUUUUUAAGUCUGAUGUGAAAGCCUUCGGCUCAACCGAAGAAGUGCAUCGGAAACUGGGAAACUUGAGUGCAGAAGAGGACAGUGGAACUCCAUGUGUAGCGGUGAAAUGCGUAGAUAUAUGGAAGAACACCAGUGGCGAAGGCGGCUGUCUGGUCUGUAACUGACGCUGAGGCUCGAAAGUAUGGGUAGCAAACAGGAUUAGAUACCCUGGUAGUCCAUACCGUAAACGAUGAAUGCUAAGUGUUGGAGGGUUUCCGCCCUUC
This 805-nucleotide ribosomal RNA is filed under the name uncultured bacterium. RNAcentral's name for it is "bacterial SSU rRNA". It matches the Rfam family "Bacterial small subunit ribosomal RNA", at positions 62 to 841 of the family's 1533-position model. The record is from RNAcentral.